CCGAGUUUACAACUCCCAAACCCAAUGUGAACGUUACCAAACUGUUGCCUCGGCGGGAUCUCUGCCCCGGGUGCGUCGCAGCCCCGGACCAAGGCGCCCGCCGGAGGACCAACCAAAACUCUUAUUGUAUACCCCCUCGCGGGUUUUUUUAUAAUCUGAGCCUUCUCGGCGCCUCUCGUAUGGCCGUCUCUGAGUAACUUAUACAAUGAAUCA
Molecule: unclassified non-coding RNA, 213 nt
Filed under: soil metagenome
Description: partial internal transcribed spacer 1
Source: RNAcentral